ACACUGAACAUUGAGCCUUGAUGUGUAGGAUAGGUGGGAGGCUUUGAAGUGUGGACGCCAGUCUGCAUGGAGCCGACCUUGAAAUACCACCCUUUAAUGUUUGAUGUUCUAACGUUGACCCGUGAUCCGGGUUGCGGACAGUGUCUGGUGGGUAGUUUGACUGGGGCGGUCUCCUCCUAAAGAGUAACGGAGGAGCACGAAGGUUGGCUAAUCCUGGUCGGACAUCAGGAGGUUAGUGCAAUGGCAUAAGCCAGCUUGACUGCGAGCGUGACGGCGCGAGCAGGUGCGAAAGCAGGUCAUAGUGAUCCGGUGGUUCUGAAUGGAAGGGCCAUCGCUCAACGGAUAAAAGGUACUCCGGGGAUAACAGGCUGAUACCGCCCAAGAGUUCAUAUCGACGGCGGUGUUUGGCACCUCGAUGUCGGCUCAUCACAUCCUGGGGCUGAAGUAGGUCCCAAGGGUAUGGCUGUUCGC
Molecule: ribosomal RNA, 471 nt
Filed under: Escherichia coli
Lineage: Bacteria; Pseudomonadati; Pseudomonadota; Gammaproteobacteria; Enterobacterales; Enterobacteriaceae
Description: bacterial LSU rRNA
Rfam family: Bacterial large subunit ribosomal RNA
Source: RNAcentral